UAACUUUUAACAAUGGAUCUCUAGGCUCUCAUAUCGAUGAAGAACACAGUGAAAUGUGAUAAGUAAUGUGAAUUGCAGAAUUCAGUGAAUCAUUGAAUCUUUGAACGCACCUUGCACCUUUUGGUAUUCCAAAAGGUACACCUGUUUGAGUGUCAUGA
Molecule: ribosomal RNA, 158 nt
Filed under: Puccinia lagenophorae
Lineage: Eukaryota; Fungi; Basidiomycota; Pucciniomycetes; Pucciniales; Pucciniaceae
Also listed under: 2 other names
Description: 5.8S ribosomal RNA
Rfam family: 5.8S ribosomal RNA
About the family: 5.8S ribosomal RNA (5.8S rRNA) is a component of the large subunit of the eukaryotic ribosome. It is transcribed by RNA polymerase I as part of the 45S precursor that also contains 18S and 28S rRNA.
Source: RNAcentral